GCUUGUCUCAAAGAUUAAGCCAUGCAUGUCUAAGUGUAAAUACGUCUACACUGUGAAACUGCGAAUGGCUCAUUAAAUCAGUUAUCGUUUAUUUGAUGAUCUCUUGUUACAUGGAUAACCGUAGUAAUUCUAGAGCUAAUACAUGCGUCAAGCCCCGACUUCGGAAGGGGUGCAUUUAUUAGAUUCAAACCAUCAGUCCUUUACGGGACUUUUGAUGGCGAGUCAUAAUAACUGAGCGAAUCGAAUGACCUUGUGUCGUCGAUGCUUCAUUCAAAUUUCUGCCCUAUCAGCUUUCGAUGGUAGGAUCUUGGCCUACCAUGGCUAUAACGGGUAACGGGGAAUUAGGGUUCGGUUCCGGAGAGGGAGCUUGAGAAAUGGCUACCACAUCUAAGGAAGGCAGCAGG
RNAcentral lists this ribosomal RNA (404 nucleotides) under uncultured Centroheliozoa. Its description in RNAcentral is "partial small subunit ribosomal RNA". It matches the Rfam family "Eukaryotic small subunit ribosomal RNA", at positions 30 to 432 of the family's 1831-position model. The record is from RNAcentral. Lineage: Eukaryota; Centroplasthelida.